GUAGGUGAACCUGCGGAAGGAUCAUUAACACUUUUUUAUUAACAUCCCCACGUUUGCAAAAACAUGGGCUUGUUUUGAAAAACUCCAAUUUAAAUUACGUGAACAGAAAAGAUGGAAAAAAAAAAUGAAAGUUUUUUUUCCCUCCUUCUUUUUCCUCCACCCUCCCUAUUUUUUAAAAAAAACCACAAAAAUAUUUUCUCUUCAAUUCUUUGAUCUGAAACAUAAACAAAAAAAAAACACACCAUGGCCUUAAAAACGCUGUGAGACACUUUUUUUUAUACGAAAUGCUGAACAACUCUUAACAACGGAUAUCUUGGUUCUC
This 322-nucleotide unclassified non-coding RNA is filed under the name rhizosphere metagenome. RNAcentral's name for it is "partial ribosomal RNA internal transcribed spacer region". The record is from RNAcentral.